CGGGCGGCAGGCCUAACACAUGCAAGUCGAGCGGUAGAGAGAAGCUUGCUUCUCUUGAGAGCGGCGGACGGGUGAGUAAUGCCUAGGAAUCUGCCUGGUAGUGGGGGAUAACGUUCGGAAACGGACGCUAAUACCGCAUACGUCCUACGGGAGAAAGCAGGGGACCUUCGGGCCUUGCGCUAUCAGAUGAGCCUAGGUCGGAUUAGCUAGUUGGUGAGGUAAUGGCUUCACCAAGGCGACGAUCCGUAACUGGUCUGAGAGGAUGAUCAGUCACACUGGAACUGAGACACGGUCCAGACUCCUACGGGAGGCAGCAGUGGGGAAUAUUGGACAAUGGGCGAAAGCCUGAUCCAGCCAUGCCGCGUGUGUGAAGAAGGUCUUCGGAUUGUAAAGCACUUUAAGUUGGGAGGAAGGGCAUUAACCUAAUACGUUAGUGUUUUGACGUUACCGACAGAAUAAGCACCGGCUAACUCUGUGCCAGCAGCCGCGGUAAUACAGAGGGUGCAAGCGUUAAUCGGAAUUACUGGGCGUAAAGCGCGCGUAGGUGGUUUGUUAAGUUGGAUGUGAAAUCCCCGGGCUCAACCUGGG
This 588-nucleotide ribosomal RNA is filed under the name Pseudomonas sp. G27. RNAcentral's name for it is "bacterial SSU rRNA". It matches the Rfam family "Bacterial small subunit ribosomal RNA", at positions 36 to 618 of the family's 1533-position model. Lineage: Bacteria; Pseudomonadati; Pseudomonadota; Gammaproteobacteria; Pseudomonadales; Pseudomonadaceae. The record is from RNAcentral.